RNAcentral lists this long non-coding RNA (276 nucleotides) under Gossypium raimondii (Peruvian cotton). Its description in RNAcentral is "long non-coding RNA (GRAI_LNC004536)". Lineage: Eukaryota; Viridiplantae; Streptophyta; Magnoliopsida; Malvales; Malvaceae. The record is from RNAcentral.
GUUGCUUGUCUUUUUCGUAUUUAUAGUUAGUUUAGUGACCAUCAAAUUUUUGGCACAGUUGUCGGGGUCUAAAAUAUUAGGAACACUUGAUUUUUAUUAAUUUAGUCAUUUUUAUUUUUAUUAUAAUUUUUGUUUUUUUAGUUUAAUUUUUAAAUUCUAAUUUUUCUUUUAUUUGCUUCUAGCAAGUUCCUUUAGUGUAUGACUAGAAGAAACCCAUCGGGACCAUUGCUAUUUGAUAGUGAAAUUGAAAGUACAGCUCGUAGAAACCAUAGAGAU